Molecule: long non-coding RNA, 463 nt
Filed under: Ananas comosus (pineapple)
Lineage: Eukaryota; Viridiplantae; Streptophyta; Magnoliopsida; Poales; Bromeliaceae
Description: long non-coding RNA (ACOM_LNC030981)
Source: RNAcentral
AAAAUUUUCGAUUUUCUUUAUUUUAAGAUUAAUAUUAAAAAUAUUUUUUAAAUAUUUCAAGCGAAAUAAUCGUUAUUUCUGUAAAAUUACCAUUUUAUUCUUUCAAAUAUAUUUUUUUAUCAUCAUCAAUUUUUUUUUAUUUAUUCUUAAGUUAAGAGCAAUAGAAAUAUUUUGAUUUUUUACCUUUUCAAAUAUACUAUUUUGCUGUCACUAAAGUUUUUUAUUUGUCCUUAAGUUGGAGGCAAAAAAAAUAUUUUGAUUUAUUUUUAACUUUAGUAGAAAUUUAAUCCAAGAUAACGUAAUGAAUACUUACAGUGAAAUUAAUUGUAAAUAACAUAGAAAUAUCCGAGAGUUAUAUUUGAAAAAAAAAAUUCAGAAGUUUUGAAGGGUAUAUUAGAUAUUGUCUUUUUGGGGGCAAUUUUUUAAUGGUCUAAAAUGUGUUCAAGUACUUUAAAUUUAAACU